This 253-nucleotide ribosomal RNA is filed under the name uncultured bacterium. RNAcentral's name for it is "partial 16S ribosomal RNA". It matches the Rfam family "Bacterial small subunit ribosomal RNA", at positions 524 to 776 of the family's 1533-position model. The record is from RNAcentral.
UACGUAGGGCGCAAGCGUUGUCCGGAAUUAUUGGGCGUAAAGAGCUCGUAGGCGGUCUGUUACGUCCGCUGUGAAAACCCAGGGCUUAACCCUGGGCUUGCAGUGGAUACGGGUAGACUAGAGGCAGGUAGGGGAGAAUGGAAUUCCCGGUGUAGCGGUGAAAUGCGCAGAUAUCGGGAGGAACACCGGUGGCGAAGGCGGUUCUCUGGGCCUGACCUGACGCUGAGGAGCGAAAGCGUGGGGAGCGAUCCGG